Molecule: long non-coding RNA, 2064 nt
Organism: Cyanistes caeruleus (blue tit)
Lineage: Eukaryota; Metazoa; Chordata; Aves; Passeriformes; Paridae
Source: Ensembl
AGUGCUGCAGGGACUCGUCCCUGGCGUCCCUUACCGUGCUGAAGUUGCCGCUGCCACCAGUGCUGGUGUGGGCGCCCGCAGUGCUCCUGUCCCCAUCCACAUCGCCCCCCUGGUGGAGCGAGAUGCGAGGCCUGCGGGCGGGAGCAGCUUGGCUGAGCAUUUAGCAGAGGUAGCCAGGCAGCCAGCCUUCAUUGCCGGCGUUGGUGGUGCUUGCUGGCUCAUUCUCGCUGCCUUUGCCGCUUGGCUCUACAGCCGCCGCCGGAGGAAGAAGGAGCUCAGCCACUUCACCGGUACAGGGGGUUGCUACCCCUGGGACCCCUCACCCCUCACCCCUCGCCCAUAAGCCACCCACUGUCCUUCUCUUUACAGCAUCCUUUGCCUACACACCCACCGGUAAGCCCCUAAGUGCUGCGGGGUCCCAGUACGGCCUCUCGCUGCCCUCACCCCCAUCUCUUUCCACAGUUGCCUUCCCAGCUCCAGUGCGCAGCAACCCCAGGGCAGCUGCCAGUGGUGGUUACCCGUGGCUGGUGGAUGCGUGGCGUGGUGGCAGCACAGCCGGUGCUGCCGGUUGCUUGGGGAGCACUGAGAGAUACUACAAUGGUGAGGGGUCAGCAUGGAGCUGGGUGGCUCUGAUUGAGGGGAUCAUGAUCAGCCCUGAUGAUGCUGCUCACCCUCUGCAGAUGCCGGCAUCACUCGGUACAUCGCCCAGACGGAGCAGUUUGGAGCGGGGGCUGGCGAGGGGCCGGUUUACAGCACCAUCGACGUUGACAGUGAGGAGCUCUGCACAUUCCCCCGUCCCUUCUCACAGUAUGGGACCUCCUACCCCGGGGGGAGUUCCCAGCCAAUGGAUGCUGCAGCCUCCCAGGUGCCCCGUGGCCGGGCUGAGCACGGUAGGGUGGUCGGAUGGGUGGGGGCACACAUGGGUGCUCGUGGUGCGGUGCCCUCCCCACAGCCCCCCCAGCAUCCCUCCUUGGCACAGGGGCCAAAGCAAAGCUGGGGCAAGCAGUGAAACCACCGGUGGUGAGCUGGACAGAGCUGCUGCCCCCACCACCCUCAGCCAGUGAGCUCAGCCAGUGUGCCCAGGAGGAGGAGAAGGAGGAGGAAGAGGAGGAUGAAGAGGAAGAUGCAGCUGGAGGGUGAGUAUGGGGGCUUGGGGGCUGGGCAUGCUGCCCCCAGCACCUACCCUGUGGUCUCCACCCUGCAGGUUGGGGAUGGAGGUGUGGUACCGUGGUGAGGACAUGCCCUGUGCCACUGCUGCAUCCUCACCCACCACCUCGUCCGGCUGCCGUUCCACCGCCACGCUGACACCAUCGCCUCGCACCACGGAGGACAUCCCUCGCCUCCGCGACUUCGAUAGCUCCCUCCUGUCCUGGUAGGAGAUGGGCCUUGCUUGGUAUGGCCGUGCCACUGGGGUCUGGAUGUCCCAUUGGGGUCCAGAUGUCCCAUCAAGGUCCAGAUGUCCCACCAUGGCCUGGGCGUUCCAUUGUGAUUCAGACAUGUUGUCACUACCCAGCCCUGCCAUGCCAUCAUGAUCCAACUCUGUCAUUAGGGUCCAGGCGUCUCAUUGGGGUCCAGGUGUUCUUUUGGGGUCAAGAUGCCUCACCACGGUCCAGAUGUUCCAUCACAACUCAGCCAUUUUGUCACUAUUUGGCUGUGCCAUGCUGUCGUGGUCCAGAUGUGUCACCUGUGCUGUCAUAGUCCAGCCAUGCCACUGAGGUCCAGAUAUGUCAUCUGAGGUCCAGGUGUCCCACUGAGGUCUGGAUGUCAUGCCCAGUCAUGCUUUCAUGAUCCAGUACCACUGUUCCACCAUAGCCUGGCCUUGCCACUGGACUCUGGAUCAGGCUCUGGAUGUCCCACCAUGGCCUGGCUGUCCCAUCACAACCCAGCCGUGCUAUCGUGAUCUGGUCCUGCUGUGCCACCACGGUCUGACCAUACCAUUGGGGUCUGGAUGUCCUACCAUGGUCCAGGCAUCUCCUUAUGAUCCAUCCAUGGUGUCACCAUGCACCCCUGCUCUCCAGUGUGCUCUGGCCAUGCUGUCAUGACACAUCCAUGACGUUGUGGGCU